RNAcentral lists this ribosomal RNA (448 nucleotides) under uncultured organism. Its description in RNAcentral is "partial 16S ribosomal RNA". It matches the Rfam family "Bacterial small subunit ribosomal RNA", at positions 334 to 798 of the family's 1533-position model. The record is from RNAcentral.
CACUCCUACGGGAGGCAGCAGUGGGGAAUAUUGGACAAUGGGCGCAAGCCUGAUCCAGCCAUGCCGCGUGAGUGAUGAAGGCCCUAGGGUUGUAAAGCUCUUUCACCGGUGAAGAUAAUGACGGUAACCGGAGAAGAAGCCCCGGCUAACUUCGUGCCAGCAGCCGCGGUAAUACGAAGGGGGCUAGCGUUGUUCGGAUUUACUGGGCGUAAAGCGCACGUAGGCGGACUAUUAAGUCAGGGGUGAAAUCCCGGGGCUCAACCCCGGAACUGCCUUUGAUACUGGUAGUCUUGAGUUCGAUAGAGGUGAGUGGAAUUCCGAGUGUAGAGGUGAAAUUCGUAGAUAUUCGGAGGAACACCAGUGGCGAAGGCGGCUCACUGGCUCGAUACUGACGCUGAGGUGCGAAAGCGUGGGGAGCAAACAGGAUUAGAUACCCGAGUAGUCCCAU